AAGACUAUAGACCUGCGGAGUACCUGCGGAAGGAUCACUGGUAGAUUGGGGGUGGAGAGGGAGGAGUGGGGAAGGAAGUGGAGAUGUUUGAGAAAUCGAACAAUCCAUACUCACCACACCGCACACCAAUCCACACCAUAUUCACACGCUUGCUGGUUUGACUGUAUCUUUCCAAUACAUACACAACUUUCAGCAACGGAUCUCU
RNAcentral lists this unclassified non-coding RNA (205 nucleotides) under soil metagenome. RNAcentral's name for it is "partial contains 5.8S ribosomal RNA, internal transcribed spacer 2, and large subunit ribosomal RNA". The record is from RNAcentral.